This 878-nucleotide long non-coding RNA is filed under the name Gouania willdenowi (blunt-snouted clingfish). RNAcentral's name for it is "lncRNA (ENSGWIG00000007901.1)". The record is from RNAcentral. Lineage: Eukaryota; Metazoa; Chordata; Actinopteri; Blenniiformes; Gobiesocidae.
UGAAGGAUUACUCUGAGGAAACAGGAGCACACGCUUCUAUUUGUAGCUUUGAAAUGAAAGUGUGCCUCCAUCUUGCUCAUGUGUCAUCUUUAGAUUUCAGAGUCGGUCUCAGUGACACGCUGGACCCAGUCGGUGUCGGACGCUGUUUGUUUCAGGAGAAGAUUACAAGUUUGUGUCAAACAGGUAUUUUAGUUGUUGUUGUUGUUGAGGGUAGAAGUCAGAGACAGACCAUGACACAAAUUGUAGGGUCACAUGCCAGAACUCCAGUUGUUUCAAGACUCACGGUGUCGGAAGAGAUUUCACAGCUCCUUGAACACAAGCGAGUUUCUUAUCUUUUGCUGCCAUUUUAUCAGGCGGCUUCAGAGCGCCCCAAGCAGAGCACCGGGUCUCUGUGUGUCCCUUUAUCUGGAGCAGGAAGAACGCUGACCUUGCGGCAACUUAAACAGUUUAUCAGAAGCACAAUAAUCUUCUUCACGGGAGAGGAUGUUGGCAGAGGAAAAUAAACGAGCUGUGAGCUUUGUGAGUGGUCCAGGUCCACGCUGCGGGUUACGAACCCUACUGCUACUGCUACUGGGCUGGAGUCAAAGAUGGAGAAGAAGCAGCAGAAUGUGAUGUGAUGUCCACAUGAGAAAAUACCAUUUACAGAUUAGAUUUCUACACAUCAUUAAUGGUGAAUUAGAAAUUAAUCUAUGAGUGAGUUUACAGUUUCUUAUCAAUAUAAAUGAUCGACACAUGACAACUUCAAAAGCAUUUUUUUUUUAAUCUUGUUUGCUGAUGACUGUAAUAUUUAUUUAAUUAAGCAGCAUGUUCUAUAUCAUUGUUGGAAAUGUGUUAACAUGAAAAAUAAAUAUAAAUCAAAAUGUUAAAUUUAAAUGUAA